RNAcentral lists this ribosomal RNA (597 nucleotides) under uncultured bacterium. RNAcentral describes it as "bacterial SSU rRNA". The stretch from base 1 to 533 matches the Rfam family "Bacterial small subunit ribosomal RNA", at positions 338 to 873 of the family's 1533-position model. The record is from RNAcentral.
CCUACGGGAGGCAGCAGUAAGGAAUAUUGGUCAAUGGACGCAAGUCUGAACCAGCCAUGCCGCGUGAAGGAUGAAGGCCCUCUGGGUUGUAAACUUCUUUUACAGGGGUACGAAAAAAGGGAAUUCUUUCUCACUUGACGGUACCCUGGGAAUAAGCACCGGCUAACUCCGUGCCAGCAGCCGCGGUAAUACGGAGGGUGCAAGCGUUAUCCGGAUUCACUGGGUUUAAAGGGUGCGUAGGUGGGCAUUUAAGUCAGUGGUGAAAUCUCCGGGCUUAACCCGGAAACUGCCAUUGAUACUAUUUGUCUUGAAUAUUGUGGAGGUAAGCGGAAUAUGUCAUGUAGCGGUGAAAUGCUUAGAUAUGACAUAGAACACCCAUUGCGAAGGCAGCUUACUACGCAAAUAUUGACACUGAGGCACGAAAGCGUGGGGAUCAAACAGGAUUAGAUACCCUGGUAGUCACGCCCUAAACGAUGGAUACUCGACAUCAGCGAUACACAGUUGGUGUCUGNGNGAAGANAUAGUAUACCACAGGAGUACGACGCAGUAGAAGUAAGAAGUAGAGNGUGAGAGAGACGAGACGACGACGAGGAGAGG